RNAcentral lists this RNase P RNA (426 nucleotides) under bovine gut metagenome. RNAcentral describes it as "Bacterial RNase P class A". It matches the Rfam family "Bacterial RNase P class A". Rfam says of the family: Ribonuclease P (RNase P) is a ubiquitous endoribonuclease, found in archaea, bacteria and eukarya as well as chloroplasts and mitochondria. The record is from RNAcentral.
UAGGAGGGGGCUAUGCCUCUUCCGAGCACGAGAGGAAAGUCCGGGCAGCGCAGGGCAUCCCACUUGCUAAUUUACAAGUGGUCGGUGACGGCCAAGUAGUGCAGAAGAAAAUAACCGCCACCCUCGAAAGUAGAGUGUGGUAAGGGUGAGAAGGUGGGGCAAGAGCCCACCAGCGGUGUGGUGACAUAUCGGCUGUGCGCCUUGGGAGCUGCAAGUUCGUGUACACUGUCGAUGGCGAUGAUGCGUAUGCUUCGGUGUGGGCAUUGUUGCUGAUGAGGGUUGCCCGCCCAAGACAGGGGGUAGGACGCUGGAGACGUGCGGUGACGCACGUUCUGGAUAAAUGACAAACGCCUGAGCCUCUUAAUUUGACCUCCGCCUUGCAUGAAGUCUCGCUCAGGCACAGAACCCGGCUUAUAGGCUGACUGC